UGGAAAAUGUGUGCGUUCAAAACUUGUUUAAGUCAUGCAACAGAAAACUCUAAUUGGACAGAUCGUCUAGCUAGCUAGCUGUCUGGAUUUAACCUACAGAGAUCUGAGGAGCAGUUUACCAUAGUCCUUAUAAAUCGGCUGCAGUUUGAAAUUACAAUACAAAGAAAGC
This is a long non-coding RNA of Etheostoma spectabile (orangethroat darter), 169 nucleotides long. RefSeq lists it as uncharacterized. The transcript is spliced from 4 exons. The record is from RefSeq and is a predicted model, not a curated record. Lineage: Eukaryota; Metazoa; Chordata; Actinopteri; Perciformes; Percidae.